Neofelis nebulosa (Clouded leopard) is the source of this 14264-nucleotide long non-coding RNA. RefSeq lists it as uncharacterized. The record is from RefSeq and is a predicted model, not a curated record. The transcript is spliced from 2 exons. NCBI's taxonomy places the organism in Eukaryota, Metazoa, Chordata, Mammalia, Carnivora, Felidae.
UUUUUUUAACGUUCUUUAUUUUACCUUUGAGAGAGACAGAGACAGAGUGCGAGCUGGGGAGGGGCAGAGAGAGAGGGAGACACAGAAUCUAAAGCAGGCUCCAGGCUCUGAGCUGUCCCCUACGCGGGGCUCGAACCCACAAACCGUGAGAUCAUGACCUGAGCUGAAGUUGGCUGCUUAACCGACUGAGCCACCCAGGUGCCCCUACAGCUAUUUUUUAAUGUGUCAGCAUAUGAAUGGCAUUUGUAAAAUUUAUAAAUGUGAGCCUCUGUUGUUCUGAUGAGUCUACAGUGUGGUCAUAGUAAACAUAAUUUAUCUAACAUAUAAAUAUGAAUUAUGGGCUGGAUGAUGAAAAUGCUUACCAUUUCCGCCCCUGAAAAUUAAUAUCCUGUGAUGUAUAGAAUGAAAGUAAGGAAAGGACUGUUAAGGCUCACAAAAAGGGACUUUUUGUGUGUGUGUGUGUAUAUAUAUGUGUGUGUGUGUAUAUAUACAUACGCACACAUACAAUGGUGCCCACGGUGGUCCUGGGCUUUCUCAUUUUCCAUCUAUCCAUUUUUUAUUGUGUGAUACAUCAGGAAUCUAGGGCAAGAAACCCACUUUGAACCAGAAACAUUAUCAGAAAUGGUGCCUCUGCAUAUAGGUGUUCAAACUAUCUGUGAGCAGUAAUUAUUAUUGUUAGGUAAUAAUAUUUUAAAAUUGUCAAUAACUGCACUGAGGGAAGCUUGAGUGCAUCCAUUCCAUAACUCUGUGUUCACGGCUCUCAGUGCUAGUGUACUAGGCUUUUGAGUGGUCCUGGCUUAUAAAACUACAUGUUAGGCUGUUUCUGAAGGAUUCAUUAUUGCCCACAUUGAAUAUACCCAGUUAGGGGCUGAUCUUGCUUCAGACGAUGGGCUCUGUGUGUCUUUUACAUCUUUUUUUUUUUAAUUUUUUAAAAAAAUGUUUACUUAUUUUUGAGAGAGAGAUAGAGGCAGGAUGUGAGCAGGGGAGGGGCAGAGAGAGAGGGAGACACAGAAUCUGAAGCAGGCUCCAGGCUCUGAGCUGUCAGCACAGGGCCUGACGCGGGGCUCGAUCUCACAGACCAUGAGAUCAUCACUCGAGCCAAAGUCAGAUGCUUAAAACUGACCAGGCCACCCACGUGCCCUGUGUCUUUUACUUCUUGAUUAAAUUUGAUUCCUUCCCAACUGGAUCACAACUUUGCAUAUUGGCCAUAGAAAAUUGCUGAAUGUUUGGACAACCUCUAGAAUAAAACAAAAUACUGUAGUUUAAAAAAUACUAUUUGAAAAAAUACUAUUUGUUGAGAUGAUUUUUUUACUUGUCAAAGAAACAGAUAUUCGUUCUUCCAUAGUACUUUUCCACAGUCCUGUGUUUGGAAGAUCCAGAAAAGUAGGAAGAAGAACGACCACAAAAUCUGGUAAUCCUACUUGAAAGAAACCAUGGAUCUUGUUUAGGCCUUUUUUUUUUUCUUUUCAAGUUUUUAUUUAAAUUCUAGUUAACAUAUAUGGAAAAAUUGGCUUCAGGUAUAGAAUUUAGUGAUUCAUCACUUAUAUAUAACACCCAGUGCUCAUCAUAGUAAGUGCUCUUCUUAAUCCCCAUCACCUAUGUUGCUCAUUCCCUGACAACCUCCCCUCCAGCAACCCUCAGUUUGUUCUCUGUAGUUAAGAGUCUCUUAUGGUUUGCUUCCCUCUCUUUUUUUUUUUUUCUCCUAUAUGUUCAUCUGUUUUGUUUCUUAAAUUCCACAUGAGUGAAAUCCUACGGUAUUUGUCUUUCACUGACUGACUUAUUCCACUUAGCAUAAUACACUCUAGCCCUAUCUACUUUGUUGCAAAUGGCAAGAUUUCAUUCGAUGGCUAAUACUCCAUUGUGUAUACAUACCACAUCUUUUUAAAAAAUGUUAAAGUUAAAAAAAAUUUUUUUUAGUGUUAAUUUUUGAGAGAUAGAGACAUCGAAUACAAAGCAGACUCCAGGCACUGAGCUGUCAGCACAGAGCCCAACGUGGGGCUCAAACUCAUGAACUGCAAGGUGUUGACCUGAGCCGAAGUCAGACGCUUAACUGACUGAGCCACCCAGGCGCCCUUUUUAAAUUGUUUUGUUUUUUUUUUUAAUGUUUAUUCAUUUUUGAGAGACAGAGAACGCAAGUGGGGAAGUGACACAGAGAGAGGGAAACACAGAAUUUGGGGGCUCCGGGCUCUGAGCUGACAGCACAGAGCCCAACGCUGGGCUUGAACUCACGAACCACAAGAUCAUGACCUGAGCCAAAGUCAGACAUUUAACCGACUGAACCACCUACGUGCCCCUUUAUGCGUUCAUCAGUCUAUGGACUGUUGGGCUUUCUGUAUUUUUAUAGUUGAUAAUCCUGCUAUAAACAUUGAGGUGCAUGUGCCCCUUUGAAUCAGUAUUUUUGUAUCCUUUGGGUAAAUACUUAGUAGUGCAAUUGCUGGGUCAUAGGGUAGUUCUAUUUUUAACAUUUUGAGGAACCUCCAAACUUUUCCAGAGUGGCUGCACCAGUUUGCAUUCCCACCAAUGGUGUAAAAGGGUAAUAUCCUCCGCAUCCUCACCAACAUCUAUUGUUUCCUGUGUUGUUAAUUUUUGCCAUUCUGACAAGUGUGAGGUGGUAUCUCCUUGUGGCUUUGAUUUGUAUUUCCCUGAUGAUGAGUGAUGUUGAGCGUCUUUUCAUGUGUUUUUUAGCCAUCAGAAUGUCUUCUUUGGAAAAGUGUCUGUUAUGUUUUCUACCCAUUUCUUCACUGUUUUGUUUUUUGGGUGUUGGUUUUAUAGGUUCUUUAUAGAUUUUGGAUAUUAACCCUUAUCAGAUACAUCAUUUGCAAAUAUCUUCUCCCAUUCUAUGGGCUGCCUUAAUGUUUUGUUGCUUGUUUCCUUCGUUGUGCAGAAGCCUUUUAUUUUGAUGCAGUCCCAAUAGUUCAUUUUUGCUUUUGUUUCUCUUUGCCUUUGUUUCUCUUGCCUUUGGAGAUGAAAAAAAAAAAAAAAAUCUCUUCUUUUUUUGUUACUGGAAUCCUCUUUUUCUUAAUACCCCAGAGUAGAAAACUGUGGUUCAUCUUUGGUUUGUUACAUUUAGUAAAUCCUAGUAGCUCUGUUUCUGCUCUGGCUGUUAAUUUGUUCAGCCCCUCAACUCCUGAUUGACUCCUUUUCAGUCUUUGUCUUAGGCAUUAAAAGUCUUCUCUAUAUAGUCAUUCUGUUCUAUUAUCUUUCCUCUUUUAAUCUUCACAUUAUUUGGUUUAUUUCUUUAAAAACCAAGUGUGAUCAUGCCAGUAGACUUAAAAAUAUACCGUGUCUCUAAAUGCUUUAAAGAGAAAGUAUGGACAACAUAUUAUAGCAUAUAUAAUGUGCUAGAAGCAUAGGAAACAUAGUGGCUUCAUUUAUAGUGGCUUCUGACUAGGUACUUUGUAUGCGACUUAUACAAGUUGAUUAUCCCCUACAUGCAACCCAUAUUUCCAAACACCAGUGUCAUCUUUUGUGCUGUUUCUUCUGCCUUGAAAUCUUUUUUCUUUUUACUUUCCCCCAGAAAUGCUUCUUUCAGAACAACUUGGAUGUCAUCUUCCUUGGGAAGCAUUCUUAAACUGUUCCAGAUACAAUUCCUUAUGCAGGUGUUCCAGGAGGAACUAAUUAUACUGCUUUAUAACCCUUGCCAUGUCCUCUUAUACUUAGUUGUAUAUAUCAUGUACAUUUCUGCUCUCUCAGGCAGUUAAGGGAGGUAUAGAUACCCUGUAUUUUGGAAUCACAAGAUGCUUUUGACUUUUAGAAACUAAUUCUGGGGAAGUAAAUUUUGUUUCUCACCUAUGACUUUCUCUAUUGCUUGAGAUAUUUUAUAAUGUUGCCUUUACAGUUUAUCUGCCAUAUGCCUAUAGUAUUCUCAUUGUUUUCCUAUAUACAUCCAUGCUUUAUGCCAAAGAUAUCCAAAAGAUUUGCAAGACGUUUUUAGGGCAGGGGUGCCUGGGUGGCUCAGUGGGUUAAGAGUCUGACUUCGGCUCAGGUCAUGAUCUCAUGGUUUGUAAGUUUGAGCCCUGCAUCGGGCUCUCUGCUGUCAGUGAGGAGCCCCCUUAAGAUCCUCUGUCUCCCUCUCUUUCUGCCCCUCCCCCCACUCACAUUCUCUUUCUCUCAGAAAUAAAUAAACAUUAAAAAAGAAAUUUUGGGGGGCAGUGUUUUGAAAUAAAAAAAAAAAGUCCAGGACACAACCUCCAAAUUGCUUUGAUUUUCUUCAUGCUACUAAUUGUCAGUUUCUGAAAGAAGCCCUAUUUUUGUUAAAAUUACUUAGUACAUCUUUUCAGUGUUAAAAGUUUUCAGUACUUCACAUUAGCAGUCAGGAAUCUGUCCAAAGAAUUCUGAAUAUAUUUAUUUCCAUAGAAGUUUAUUCCAUAGAAGUCUGUUUAUUUCCAUAGAACUCUGCAAGAUAAUACAACUUAAAUGUUAGUAAGAAGGACAAAAAGAAAUUGAUAUUAAUAAAUAGGUAUCAUAACUUUGGAAGGUACUAGAUCACCUGUUCAUUAUUUUGACAAUUUAUAAAUAGAAAGAGUCAAUAAUUCAUACAGUCUUUCCUGUGUAAACUGUAUUGCAGGGCAACCAAAUAGUUAAUUAGGGAAAGUCCUUUUUAGAAGAAUUUCAGGUAAUAAAUGCAGAUGGAAUGAUAGAAUUAGCAAAUCCCAUUCAGGCAACCCCUAAGUAAAUAAUGGAGAAUGACCACUGAGUAAAAUAAGACUGGCAACAUUUGAAUACAAUAUCCAAUAUGAAUAUCACUUUAAGUAGGACAACCAGACAUCUUAUGAGUCUUAAUAUAAUGGAUUGGGAACAUAGAUGUAUCACCCAUGGAGUAUUCUUGGCAAAAGACAUGAAUCAUGUCCCUAGAUCUUACUAAGUUUACAGGAAAUAUGGGGAAUGGAGGAAUAAGUCAACACCAGGAGGAAACAGCUAAAUUAGGAUGUGAUAAAUUCUACAGGACAAAUGACUUGUUGUUACAGAUUAAAUGAGAUUUAAAGAGACGUAUUAAUCAGAUACAGUGUGUAGUUCUUGCUUUUGUUCUUGGUUUAGAAAAGCCAACAGUAGAAAUUUCAUUUUUGAGAUGAUUGAAAUGUGGACAUAAAGUACAUAUUAAAUGAUUUUGAGGCAUUAUUGCUAAUUUUGUCAGAUGUGAUAAUGGCAUUGUAGUGUCAAAGUAAAAUCUUUAGAGUGGCUCAGUUGGUUGAGCAUCUGACUCUUGAUUUCAGCUCAGGUCAUGAUACCAGCAUUGUGGGAUUGAGCCCUGUGUCGGGCUCUGAGCUGAGCGUGGAACCUGCUUGGGAUUCUUUCUUUCUCUCUGCCUGUCUCUAAAAAACAAACAAACAAACAAAAAGGUCUUUAAAUGAUAGUGAUACAUUCUUUACUACAUAUGCGUGAAAUGAUAUGAUGUCUGGGAUUUGCUGUAAAAAUACUCCAUUCCCUGCUCCCCAAAAGAGAGAAAAGUUGUAGGAUGGGAGAACUGAGAUAAUGAGACAUUUAUGAGUUGCAUGGGCAUUUGUUCUACAGUUAUCUCCUUAUGUGAAUGUUUGAAAAUUUUUAGACCAAAAGUUGAAAAAAUCAAAAAUGUGUAGCAUGGUUUCUAGCAGUCUACAUAGGAAGAAAACUGGGUCAGUAACGUAGUGUCUAUAUGAUGAAAACAAACACCUGCUGGGAAAAAGCAUGACUCUUCCUAUUAAGACCAAAAAAAAGUUUUCCUUGAUAGUGUUCUUGAGGACACGAUGUAAUAUAUUGUUAAAAGCAUUUUAAAUUAUAUUCCUCCUAUAAACUGAGUUUUUGUCGUUGUUGUUGUUUUUUGGUAGCAUUCCAAAAUGGCUAAAUGGCUAGUGGAAUACAAUCCAUGGUUAAUUCCAGUGAAACCAGCUUUAUGGCAAACCAUUCUGAUACAUUCUAGAAACCUUACUUCAAGCUGUGUAGGGUUCCCCAAGGAGAAUUCAUAAGAGGUCUUAUUCCUGUCUUUUCAAAGCUUAGAGAAACACGGGCACCUGGCUGGCUCAGUUGGUAGAGUGUGUGGCCCUUGAUCUCCUGGUCAUGAGUUUGAGCCCCAUGUUAGGGGUAGAGCUUACUUUUAAAAAUUAAAAAUAGGGGUGCCUGGGUGGCUCAGUUGGUUAAGGGUUUGACUUUGGCUCAGGUCAUGAUCUCACAGUUUGUGAGUUCAAGCCCCACAUAGGGUUUUGUGUUGACAGCUCAGAGCCUGGAGCCUGCUUCAGAUUCUGUGUCUCCCUCUCUCUCUACCCCUCCCCCUCUCGCACUCUAUUGCUCUCUCUUUCUCUCAAAUAUAAACAAACAUAAAUAAAAAAUAAAAACUACAAAAAUAAAAUAAGAGCUUAGAGAAACAUAAAAACUUCCUAUCCCAUCAUCUCUCCUUUGUUCCAUUUCUGUCAUGACUUUUUUAUGUAACCCACCGUUGCAAAAUUAGUUAAUAUAAUAGAUAAAAAGGAAUUUUCCUUAUGCCUGUUUCUUUCUUUCUUUUUUUAAUGUUUAUUUUUGAGAGAGAGACAUACACAGAGUGCGAGCAGGGGAGGGCAGGAAGGGGCAGAGAGAGAGAGAGAGGGAGACACUGAAUCUGAAGCAGGCUCCAGGGUCUGAGCUGUCAGCGCAGAGCCUGAUGUGGGGCUCAAACUCACAACCUGAUCAUAACCUGAGCCGAAGCUGGACGCUUAAGUGACUGUGCCACCCAGGUGCCCCAUCCUUAUAGCUGUUUCUGUUGGCAAAGAAAAUCUUAAUGAAUUUUGUUUUCUCUGAUUUGUCUCAAAAACAAGUCUUUUAAAGUAAAAGUGUUAUAUUAAAAUAGGCAUUUAAAAUACCAUAGCCAUUUACUCCCUCAGAGAUUUUGAUAUUAAAUUCCCCUCCAGCCUCUCAGAGAAUCUGUGUUAAGAGUAACUAGAUGGACUGUAUAAAGUAUCCUGCAGACAAUUCUCCAUAAACAUUGUUUCACAUGGAGCUUUUCCUGAGUAUUGAGCAGCAGUGAAUUUGAGAUUAUAUUUCCUGGCAAGUGUCUGAAAUACAGAUCUUCUGUGUUAUUGACUAAAUAUGAACCAUUAUUCACUGAAGCUCUGUUAAAGUGCACAUUCUUCUCUGAAAAUAAGAAUGACUAACAAGAACAGUACAUUAACUCUAAUAUGACAUGAGCCAAAGGAGUACCCAGGUAAAGCCAAGAUUCUCCAAAGAAUAAUUUUAAUUACUGGAUUAGUUUUCUAAUGCUCUGUAACAGAUUGUGACAGUUAGCAGUUUCAAACAACACAGAUUUAUUAUCUCACAAUUUCCAUGGAUCAUGAGUCAGGGCACAGUUUAAGCUGAGUCCUCUGCUUAGGGCCUCACAGGCUACAAAUCAAAGUGUUGGCCAGGGCUGAAGUGUCAUCCAGGCUCUGGAUCUUCCAAGCUCACGUGGUUAUUGGCUGAAUUCAUUUCCUUUUAGUGGUACAACUCAGGGCAGCUUGCUUUUCCAAGGCCACAGGAAAGUCUCUUAUCUCUUGACUCUCUUUAAAGGACUCAGCUUUAUUAGGUAGGCAUGUCCAGGAAAAUCUCCUCUGAUUAAUGUAAUGCCAAUUAGGGACCUUAAUUGCAUUUGCAAAAUUUUUUCACCUUUGCCAUUUAAAAUAACAUAAUCAUGGGAGUGAUAGCCCAUUUCCUUUGCCCUGUUCCAUUGGUUAGAAACAAGUUAUAAGCCCCACCCACACUCAAAGAGAGAGGAUUAUACUUGGGCAUGGGGCCUUGGGGGUUGCAUUUCAGUAUCCUGCCUACCAAGAUUACACUAUUGCCUGUUAAAAAAUAUUUUAAGUAUCUUAUUUUGUUUGUUAUUACACAGAUGACAUUAUGAAACUUAAAGUAGAACAGAAAAAAGUCACCCCAUAAUCCUGCCAGCCAGUGUAUCAAAAUGUUUUCCUUUGGCUGUGUGCAUGCAUAAUUUUUACAAAGUAUUAUGGAGCAGAGAUACAGUUUUCCAUUGCUUUUCACUUAGCAAAGGCAUUUGUCUGAUUGCUCACAUAAUGUUUAUAUGUAUCAUAUUUAAGGGAUGGGAUUGCUUCAGGUGAACAUAUCUAGAUUAUUGAAAUUGCUGCGGGUGAAUGAAUCUGUAUUAGGCUAAUAAAGGUAUAAGUCAUAAACAGUAGAAAUCAUUAUUCUGUGAGCUUUGAUAAACACACAUAUUUGUGUAACUCCCAUCACAAUCAAGAUAAAGAAUAUUAUUGGGAUGCCUGGGUGGCUCCAUUGGUUAAGCAUCCAUCCGACUUCAGCUCAGGUCAUGAUCUCACCAUCUGUUGAGUUCAAGCCCCGCAUCAGACUCUGUGCUGACAGCUCAGAGCCUGGAGCCUGCCUCGGAUUCUGUGUCUCCCUCUCUCUCUGACCCUCCCCUGUUCAUGCUCUGUCUCUCUCUGUCUCAAAAAUAAAUAAACAUUAAAAAAAUUUUUUUUUAAAAAGAUAAAGAAUAUUAUCUUGUGCCCUUUGGUAGACAAGCCCUCCUCCCACAGUGCAGCCUUCAGUCAAUGUAUUCUUACUAUUUCUUCAGUGUCAUAUGAGUGGAAUCACACACCUUGUAUACCUUUGGGUUUGGUUGCUUUCACUUAAUAUAAUGUUGUGCAGUAAAGGCAUAGCAUUCCUGUGACACAAUAAGAAAUACAUAUUUGGUCUGUGUCCCUGGUUCCUGGUACAGAGCUCCUAAAAUCCUUGCAAUUUCCUGAAAGGAACAUCUUUUAUACCUUUAUACCACGUGAGUUUUACUACCUUUUUAAACCUUUAUACCACGUGAGCUUAUGCUAAUAAAGUUACUUUUGAUAGGCCCCUAGACAGCUUCAGGAUGGUAGUUGGCUGUCACAUGGUUACUAACCCUGUGAUUAGAGGGUUGGCACUUGCAGCCCCACGCCUGAACCUUCAUGGAGGGGAGAAUGGUUGGAAAUUGAGUUCAGUCACCAGCAGCCAAUGAUUUAAUCAGCUGUGCCCACAUAAAACCCUUGAAACAAUGGGGUUUGGAGAGCUUCAGAGUUGCUGAACAUAUCCACUUGCUGGUAGGGUGGCAUAGUCCGACUCUGUGAGAGAGAAGCUCCUGUUCCUAGGACCCAUUUGGACCUUCCCUGUGUACCUUCUCAUCUAGGUGUUCAUUUGUCUUCUUUAAUAAACUGGUAAUAGUGAAUAAAGUGGUCUUUGGAAUAUGAUGAGCUGUUCUAGCAAAUAACUGAAAUUGAAAGAGAGAUAUGGUUUUGGGAACCCACCACCUUGUAGCCAGGUCAAACAGAAGUAUGUGGACCUGGAGAUCCAAUACUUAGGACUGACAUCUGAAGUGAGGGCAGUCUUGUGGGAUGGAGCCCAAAAGCCCAAGGAGUCUGAUGCUGACUGAGUAGUUAUUAUUAGAAUUAAAAUGAAUUGUAAGAUAUCUGGUGGCAUCUGUAGAGUUAGAGAAUUUCUUGGUGUGAGGGAGAAAACUGACACAUUUUAUGUCACAGAAGUGUUGUUUUGAGUAAAAAUACCUUAGUUACUCAAAGAAUAGGCAACCGUGAGCUGCCUAAGGUUUGGCCCUUGCCAUCUCCUGGAAGGUAACCUCUAAGCCCUUGGGAUAUCUUGCCUGAGAAGAGUGUCUUUGUUUACUUGAGGGCCUUUGGCCACCCCACGUUGCCUGUGCCGACAAUGUGGCUGACAGUGUGGUAGGAGGCUUUGUGUAGUGUGGUAUCAGCUUGACCUCUGGAGGAGUUGCAGGCUAAGGUCACCUAUGCAGAUGGUCAGACCUGCCUGUGCGUCAGACCCCUGACAAAAAUGCUUGACACCAGGCCUCGGGGGGGUUUCCCUGGUUGCCAGUACUCCAUGUGUGCUGUCACAUUUCUUGCUGGGAGAAAUAAGUGCUGUCUCUACAACUCUACUGGGAGAGGACAAGUGAAAGUUUGGUGUCUCCUGGACCCAGCCCUAUACCCCUCUUCCCUUUACUGAUUUUAAUCUUUUUUUUUUUUUUUUUUGCUAUAAUAAACUGACCAUGAAUAAAAUGGCCCUUUUGAAUUUCAUGAGUCCUUCUAGUGAAUCAUUAAACUUGAGGGUGGCUUUGGGUUUAAUGAUGCUGAACUGCAGAGGUUCAUCCAUAUUACUGCAAGCAUCAAUACUUAGUUGUUUUUUUUUGUUGAUUAGCAUUCGAAGUUUGUUCAUUCUCCAUUUGCGCUGGUUGUUUCCAUCUAUUGGCAAUUAUAAAUAAAACUGCUAUAAACAUUUGGGUACAGGUUUUUAAAAAAAUGUUUGUAAUGUUUGUUUAUUUAUGAGAGAGAGAGAGAGCAUGAGCAGGGGAGGGGCAGGGACAGAGGGAGACAGAGAAUUUGAAGCAGGCUCCGAGCUGUCCACACAGAGCCUGACUCAGGGCUUGAACUCUUGAACUGUGAGAUCAUGACCUGAGCCAAAGUAGGAUGCUUAACUGAGCCACCCAGGAGCUCCCAAGUACAGAUUUUUGUGUGAACAUAGGUUUUUAUUUCACUUGGAUAAAUAACUAAUAGUCAGAUUGCUUGGUUAUAUGAAGGGUGUCUAACUUUAUUAGAAACGACUAAAUUGGCUUGCAAAGUGGUUGUACCAUUUGCACUCCUCCCAGCUACCACUGUGUGAGAAUUCCAGCUUCUCUUCAUACUCCUCAAUAGUUGGUAUUGCCAGUUUUAUUUUUCUUUUAAUUGUAGCCAUCAUGAUGGAUGUAAUAGUAUCUCACACAAAUAGUUGUACUUUGCAUUUCCCAUAAUGUUAAGUGUCUUUACAUGUGUUUAUUAUGCCAUUCACAUAGCUUGUUUAAUGAAGUGUCUGUCUAAAUCUUUUGCCUGUUAAAAUUUUUUUUAAGGUUUAUUCAUUUUUCAGAGACAGAGAGAGAAAAAGUGUGACUGGGGGAGGGGCAGAGAGAGAGGGAGACACAGAAUCCAAAGUAGGCUCUAGGCUCCGAGCCGUCAGCACAGAGCCCAACGCCGGGCUCGAGCUCACAGACCUUGAGAUCAUGACCUGAGCUGAAGUCGGACACUUAACUGACUGAGCCAUCCAGGUGCCCCUAAAAUUUUUUUUUUAUUACAGAGUUUUGAGAGCUCUCUAAAUAUUCUGGAUACCAAUCUUUUAUCAAAUAAGUAUUUUGCAAAUAUUUUCUCCCAAUCUAUAACCUUUGGAGAGGAGUUUUUAAUUUUAAUAAUGUUUAAUUUUUAAUUUUAUAAAUUUUGUGGAUGUUUAAAAAUCUUAAAAAAUUUUUUUUUAUGUUUUCAUCUAAAACUUUUUUAGUUUUAUAUUUUACAUUUAGGCCUUUCAUUUUGAGUUAAUUCAGUAAAUGCAAUUUGAGUUAAUAAUGGUGUGAGAUAUGGGUCAGGGUUCAUUUUGGGGGACAUAUGGAUGUCUGAUUGUCCUGAAACCACUUGCUGAAGAGGCUCUUCUUUCUCCACUGAAUUGCAUUUUUACUUUUGUUAAAAAUCAAUUACCCAUAUAUGUAUGAGUCUAUUUCUGGACUCUAUUUUGUUCUAUUUAUCUAUUUUUUGCUGAUGUCAUGCUGAGUUGAUUAAUGUAUUUUUAUAAGUAUAGUCCUCAGAUAAGAUAGUAUGAGUCUUCUGAUUUUUUUCAAAAUUGUUUUUGGCUGUUCCAGUCCCUUUGACUCACUUUGCUGAUUUUAUAAAAAAAAAAUUUUUUUUUUUACAUUUAUUUGAGAGACCGAGCACCAGUGGGAGAGGGGCAGAGAGAAUGAGACACAGAAUCUGAAGCAGGCUCCAAGCUGUCAGCACACAGCCCGAUGCGGGGCUCAAACUCACAAACUGUGAGAUCAUGACCUGAGACAAAAUCGGACACUUAACCGACUGAGCCACCCAGGUACCCUUUACUUUGCUGAUUUUAGAAUCAACUCAUUGAUGUCAAUAUAAAAAGCUUUUGCUUUUCUUUUGAUUGACAUUGCUUUGAAUUUUUUAAAAAAUGUUUUUAUUUAUUCUUGAGGGAGAGAGAGACAGAACGUGUGACUGGGAGAGGGACAGAGAAAGAAGGAGACACAGAAUCUGAAGCAGGCUCCAGGUUCUGAGCUGUCAGCACAGAGCCUGAUGUAGGGCUCAAACUCAUGAGCCGUGAGAUCAUGACCUGAGCUGAAGUCAUAACUCUUAACUGACUGACCCACCCAGGCACCCCUGAUUGAAAUUACUUUGCAUUUGUAGAUCAAUUUGGGGAGAACAAGUCUCCAAUAAAUGCUCAUGAUAUAUUGCUCUGCUUAUUUAGGUCUUUUUCAUCUGUACUUUGUAGUUUUUCAGCAUAAAUAUCUUGCAUAAAUUUUAUUACAUUUAUACAUAUUUUUAUGUUUUUUGGCUCUUUUGUAAAUGGUAUUGUUUUUUAAGUUUGGAUUUUCAACUUCUGUUCCUAGUAUAUCGAGAUAUAAUUGUUGCUUGCUUAAUGAUCUUAUAGUUUGCAACCUUGCUAAACUCACUUAUUAGUUCCAGGAGCUUUUUUUUAAAGAUUCUUUGUCAUUUUCUACAUCCAGUCGUGCCAUUUGCAAUCCGUAUGCCUUUUAUUUCUUUUAUUUCUUGUCUUACUGCACUUUCUAAAUCUUGAGUGUGUUAUUGAAUAGGAGUGGUGACAGCUGAUGUCCUGAAUCUUUGGGGGAAUACAUUUCGUGUUUUAUUAUUUGAUAGGAUGUUAGCAGUAAGUUUUUAGUAAAUGCACGUUAUCAGGUUGUAUAAGUGCCCUUCUAUUCCUAAUGUGCUGAGAACUUUGCCAUGAAUAAAGGUUGGAUUUUCGUAAAUGCUUAUUUUUUUUGCAUUUGUUGAUGCCAUCAUAUUUUUCUUCUUUAGUUUGCUGACCUGGUGAAUUACACUGAUUUCAUCUUUCAGUGUUGAAUCAACUUGUAUUCCUGGGAUAAAUCCUUAUUGGUUUUGGUAUUUUAUCUUUCUCCUAAGUUACUGAAUUUGAAUUUGGUUUGCUAACAUUUUGUUGAGGAUUUUUGCAUCUGUGAGGGAUAAUGAUCUAUAGUUGCUUUUUCUUGUGAUUUCUUUGUCUCAUUUUGUUGUCAGGGUAAUGCUGGCCUCAUAAAAUGAGUUGGAAACUGUUCCCUUCUAUACUGUUUACAUUGAUUUUUUUCCCCCCACUCUUUUUCCUGGUUAGUUUCAGCUUUAUGAUCUGUGUUGACCUACCUUAAAGUUCAUUGAUUCUUUCCUCAACUGUCAAGUCUGUUGCUGAACCUGCCAAAGGCUUUUAAAAAUUUUGUUACUGCAUUUCUCAUAGUCUUUAUCAUUUCAAAUUGUCUCUUAUAGGUUUUUCUGUUCAACUCUUAUAGUUUCUAUCUCUGAUGUUUGCCACCUUGCUCAUACCUAUGGUUUACCUGUUCCAUUUGAUCCAUUAUUAUUAGUAGUAUUUACUUUAAUUAAUUGGCUGGCUGAAAGUUCCAGCAUUUCAGUUACGGCUUCUUCUGCUUCUUUUGACUGUUUUGUCACCUGACAAUGAUUUGUUUGCUCUUGAGAUUUUGUGUAGCUUAUAAUUUGGACAGGGAGGGGAUGUUACCAAAUUACUUUACUUGAAGGAAUGAUGCAACUGAAAGAACUUCAGAUGUUUUCAUACAACUCAUAGAAAAGGUAAUGGUAACCUCAACAUGCGUGCACUGCCUUCAAGACCACGGAAAUCACCCCUAGGGCCAAGCUUAUACUUUUUGUUUGAAUGCGAGCCGUCAUUUGCAGGAUAGUAGAGACUGAAGUAUAUAGUAUUUAUGUUAAGAAAUGGGUAUGACUCUUGUUAUAUUGAGUUGUUCCUGUGCAGGGUUGAAUUAGUCUUACUUGAUUAGGGUUUUGUUUGUUUGUUUGUUUUUUCCUGCUCUGGUUACAUUCAGUGCAUCAUCAAUUUUAAAUACUUAAUGGCAUCACUUUGUGCUUAAGGGUGGGGGAUGAUUUGUUGAAAAGUUUUUACCUUUAGUCUUAGGCAGGCUUUGUUUCCCUAAUAAUUUCCCUUUUCCUAAUAGUCCCACUUUUUCCCCACUACCAGUAGACCUCUAUUGUUUGGGGCCAGGAUAUUUCCUGUCCCUCCAUCAGAGGUGGAUAUUAUCAUCUAAUUUUGAAAGAAUAAUAAAAAUUUGAAUUAUAAAACUACUAGAAGAAAAUACAGAAGAAUACCUACAUAUUUUCUUUUUUUUAAUAAUUCUUUUUUUUUAAUGUUUUAUUUAUUUUUAAGAGAGAGAGAGAGAGAAUGAGCAGGGGAGAGACAGGGAGACACAGAAUCUGAAUCAGGCUACAGGCUCUGAGCUGUCAGCACAGAGCCCAAUGCAGGGCUUAAACAGAUGAACAGUGAGAUCCUGACCUGAGCAGAAGUCGGAC